RNAcentral lists this ribosomal RNA (239 nucleotides) under uncultured bacterium. Its description in RNAcentral is "partial 16S ribosomal RNA". It matches the Rfam family "Bacterial small subunit ribosomal RNA", at positions 95 to 334 of the family's 1533-position model. The record is from RNAcentral.
CCGGCGAACGGGUGCGUAACACGUGAGCAACCUACCGAAAUGAGGGGGAUAGCCGUCCCAACGGACGGGUAAUACCGCAUACGCUAGAGACCAGGCAUUUGGACUCUAGGAAACCUCCGGGGCAUUUCGAGGGGCUCGCGGCCUAUCAGCUAGUUGGUGAGGUAACGGCUCACCAAGGCGACGACGGGUAGCUGGUCUGAGAGGAUGGCCAGCCACAUUGGGACUGAGAUACGGCCCAG